Molecule: ribosomal RNA, 253 nt
Filed under: uncultured bacterium
Lineage: Bacteria
Description: partial 16S ribosomal RNA
Rfam family: Bacterial small subunit ribosomal RNA
Source: RNAcentral
UACGAAGGGGGCUAGCGUUGCUCGGAAUCACUGGGCGUAAAGCGCACGUAGGCGGAUUCCUAAGUCGGGGGUGAAAUCCUGGAGCUUAACUCCAGAACUGCCUUCGAUACUGGGAAUCUUGAGUCCGGAAGAGGUGAGUGGAACUGCGAGUGUAGAGGUGAAAUUCGUAGAUAUUCGCAAGAACACCAGUGGCGAAGGCGGCUCACUGGUCCGGUACUGACGCUGAGGUGCGAAAGCGUGGGGAGCGAACGGG